RNAcentral lists this ribosomal RNA (253 nucleotides) under uncultured bacterium. Its description in RNAcentral is "partial 16S ribosomal RNA". It matches the Rfam family "Bacterial small subunit ribosomal RNA", at positions 524 to 776 of the family's 1533-position model. The record is from RNAcentral.
UACAGAGGGUGCAAGCGUUAAUCGGAAUUACUGGGCGUAAAGGGCGCGUAGGCGGCCGCCUAAGUCAGACGUGAAAUCCCUCGGCUCAACCGGGGAACUGCGUCUGAUACUGGGUGGCUUGAAUCCGGGAGAGGGAUGCGGAAUUCCAGGUGUAGCGGUGAAAUGCGUAGAUAUCAGGAGGAACACCGGUGGCGAAGGCGGCUAUCUGGACAGAAACUGACGCUGAGGCGCGAAAGCUAGGGGAGCAAACAGG